CCCGCUCAGAAACUUAAAGGAAUUGACGGGGACCCGCACAAGCAGCGGAGCAUGUGGUUUAAUUCGAAGCAACGCGAAGAACCUUACCAGAUCUUGACAUCCAAUUGACCAUCUUUAAUCGAGAUUUUGCCUUCGGGUACAAUUGAGACAGGUGGUGCAUGGUUGUCGUCAGCUCGUGUCGUGAGAUGUUGGGUUAAGUCCCGCAACGAGCGCAACCCUUGUGUUUAGUUGCAAACAGGUCAAGCUGUGCACUCUAGACAGACUGCCGUGGACAACACGGAGGAAGGUGGGGAUGACGUCAAAUCAUCAUGCCCCUUAUGAUCUGGGCUACACACGUGCUACAAUGGCCGGUACAACGGGCAGCGAAGGAGCGAUCCGGAGCGAAUCCUAAAAAGCCGGUCCCAGUUCGGAUUGCAGGCUGAAACUCGCCUACAUGAAGUUGGAGUUGCUAGUAAUCGUAGAUCAGCAUGCUACGGUGAAUACGUUCCCGGGCCUU
RNAcentral lists this ribosomal RNA (496 nucleotides) under uncultured Fusibacter sp. Its description in RNAcentral is "bacterial SSU rRNA". It matches the Rfam family "Bacterial small subunit ribosomal RNA", at positions 888 to 1382 of the family's 1533-position model. Lineage: Bacteria; Bacillati; Bacillota; Clostridia; Eubacteriales; Fusibacteraceae. The record is from RNAcentral.